Molecule: ribosomal RNA, 2455 nt
Filed under: Triticum aestivum (bread wheat)
Lineage: Eukaryota; Viridiplantae; Streptophyta; Magnoliopsida; Poales; Poaceae
Description: partial small subunit ribosomal RNA
Source: RNAcentral
UCGAACCAUUCGUGCUUUCCGGCGUAGACUUUUUCGUUGCCAUACAAACCUACAACUAUAAGUCCGGCUCUAUAACUAUAGACGCUGCGUCUCGAAGGCCGCCGCGUCCAGUCGGGGAGAGGCGGGAAGAGGAAGAAGAGGCGAGAGAGGCCGGCUGUCUAGGUGAGGAGGGGGCGUACGCCGGAUCAGGACGACGGAGCGUAGUGGGGCGGCCGGGUGGAGGGGCGAACAGGGCGGCAGGCGGCGGGUACCGGCGGGCGAAAACGGUAGUCGCGCCGCGGGGAGGUAGCGGCCUACAAUGCCCUCGGAGGGGGACCGGCGAAGAAGGACAUCGGGGGGUAUCGGUAGAAGGGAUAGGGUUAGGGAUUGGGGUAUGUCUUUGGGAUUUAGGGGUUAGGGAAGAUGAGUGGUGCAUACACAGUCAUACGAGUAAAUAAAAAGGAAAACUACCUGUCGUCCAAUCACCUAACCAGUCGCCUAGACUUCCAGUCACCUAAGGCUCGUCGGUCUAGCUUCAAGGUAUUGUAGUCUUCCGAGAGGGGAGAAGGGGGUUUGGGGUCGGUACCGGCUGGGGCGGCGGCUGGUUUUGGGAUUCCUGCGGCCCCUGGCGCAGGGGCUCGGGACCCGACCGCGGCUACCUCUUCAGCGGCUCCUACUCAUGCUCAUGCUCCUCCUCCUCGACCUGCUCGCCCUCUUCCACGUCAGGCACAAGGCCGCCGAGAGGUGCCUGGGGCACCCCUAGGCGCAGGUGCUGCAGUAGUAGUCCCCGUUGCGGUUCUGCGCGCUCCUCGAGUAACUCCGCCUCCAGCGGCUGGAGGAGGCGAGGCGGUGGUGGCAGGUCCUGGACGACUCGCGGCGGCGGCUGCGGUCGCGCGCCGAGGCGCCCGAGCUGCACAAGCUCCGGCAGUUGUAGUGCGAACUACGGCCGGGCGGGCUCGACGGGCCGUGGUGGUUGCAGCAGUAGCUCCAGCAGCUCGGGCGGUAGGGGGAGUCGCCGUUGCGGCCGCAGAUGAGGUUCGGGCUCCGUUUUCGUACCAGUCACCUUCCCCGACAAUUCACCUUCUUAAACCGACCCAUACGUCUGUAGACCCUACGAAGUCAACGUAUACCAAAGCUGGUUUGUUGUCUCCAACCGCAUCCUCAGAGCGACGGUUCUAAAUUUAGUUAUGGUUGUGGGAACUACCGAGCCCGAAGUAACAACAGUGUUCUAACCUACUUCAAGAGUAGUAUGUUCCUCGCGGAUGAACCAGAAAGUAACCCAAACGAAAGUUGGUCCGUGGUACUAAAUAGAAUGUUGGAAUGUACCGCAAGGAACUGACUAGGCAGUGCGGAACGCAGUUGCAGGUAUUCUUCCGUCAAUCCCGUAUUGGAAGAUAGACGUAACUUUAUGUGUAUGUUCUAACUACUUUCCCUAAGUGUAUAGUCCGGUUGUUUUCCUAUACGUAAAGAGAGCAGGAGAGUUCAACCACCAGAAACCCUAUUGUUUCCUAACUUUAAAAAAGCGGUCCUCAAACUACAAGCACGACGGCACGGAAAACCUAAGACCUUGCGACGAGAGUUGCAACCACAUCCUCGCCCACAACAAAAUGGCGACCGUUCUCCUAAAUACUUAAGCAGAUGUGGACACUGACUAUCUAAAUUGGACCCUCCAGUGUUAAGAGGUCAAACGUCGGACCCACCUUAUAGUAGGAACGAGCCAAAGUCUUGUUCUCCUCAACCGGGUUGUCUUGGUGCCUCCGAACAGGGGCCGCUCAGCCUUCUACCAAGACGACGACAGGGUCCCUCCCUAAUGAACCCACCGCUAGAACGACAAAGACGGAAACGCCUGGAGAGGAAACUAGACGGAGACUUCCACAAAUCUCUGCGACCUUAUGUACCAGUACGCAAAGAGUGACGACCCUUAGAACGCUUUGACAGCCUCCCGGUCAUGUUCUUGAAGAGCGAACUACUUAAGGCGGCAAGCAAAUCCUCGUGACGACCGCAGCCGUAAUAAAACGGUUGAUUUGACAAGGCCCACCUCCACUUGAUGACGAUGUAAGACUUCGUCAGAGUCGUGCUGUCGCCCUUCUGCCCUUAGGUCAAGUCGAAGAGGAGCGGGAUCAUCUCUGGACGGUGGUUCACAGGACGUCAGCUGCACCGUAGGGAAGACGAGAAAAGAAAGUGCUGCUCAUGGACGACCUGUUCGCAUAAACACAAAAGUCGGAACAAAACCCGUGGCUCCUCGGACCUUAUAGAAUGCACGACAAGCCAAAAAAACGUGUAGAAGGCCUUCUCAAGUCAAGCGAAGGGAACAAUUGUGAUCACUAACAGCACCUGUACGGAUACAUUGACUUUAUGGCUACGACGCUACCACCUAUCUUGUUAUUAAAUCCGCCUGCUCUUUAUAACCGCGAUGACACUGAGACAUAGUGGGUGAACACUAAACGCUCGGAUAAACCGUUCGCAAACACACACG